UUUUGUAGAAUGAACCGGCGAGUUACGAUUUGAUGCAAGGUUAAGCAGUAAAUGUGGAGCCGUAGCGAAAGCGAGUCUGAAUAGGGCGUUUAGUAUUUGGUCGUAGACCCGAAACCAGGUGAUCUACCCUUGGUCAGGUUGAAGUUCAGGUAACACUGAAUGGAGGACCGAACCGACUUACGUUGAAAAGUGAGCGGAUGAACUGAGGGUAGCGGAGAAAUUCCAAUCGAACCUGGAGAUAGCUGGUUCUCUCCGAAAUAGCUUUAGGGCUAGCCUCAAGUGAUGAUUAUUGGAGGUAGAGCACUGUUUGGACGAGGGGCCCCUCUCGGGUUACCGAAUUCAGACAAACUCCGAAUGCCAAUUAAUUUAACUUGGGAGUCAGAACAUGGGUGAUAAGGUCCGUGUUCGAAAGGGAAACAGCCCAGACCACCAGCUAAGGUCCCAAAAUAUAUGUUAAGUGGAAAAGGAUGUGGCGUUGCCCAGACAACUAGGAUGUUGGCUUAGAAGCAGCCAUCAUUUAAAGAGUGCGUAAUAGCUCACUAGUCGAGUGACACUGCGCCGAAAAUGUACCGGGGCUAAACAUAUUACCGAAGCUGUGGAUUGUCCUUUGGACAAUGGUAGGAGAGCGUUCUAAGGGCGUUGAAGCAUGAUCGUAAGGACAUGUGGAGCGCUUAGAAGUGAGAAUGCCGGUGUGAGUAGCGAAAGACGGGUGAGAAUCCCGUCCACCGAUUGACUAAGGUUUCCAGAGGAAGGCUCGUCCGCUCUGGGUUAGUCGGGUCCUAAGCUGAGGCCGACAGGCGUAGGCGAUGGAUAACAGGUUGAUAUUCCUGUACCACCUAUAAUCGUUUUAAUCGAUGGGGGGACGCAGUAGGAUAGGCGAAGCGUGCGAUUGGAUUGCACGUCUAAGCAGUAAGGCUGAGUAUUAGGCAAAUCCGGUACUCGUUAAGGCUGAGCUGUGAUGGGGAGAAGACAUUGUGUCUUCGAGUCGUUGAUUUCACACUGCCGAGAAAAGCCUCUAGAUAGAAAAUAGGUGCCCGUACCGCAAACCGACACAGGUAGUCAAGAUGAGAAUUCUAAGGUGAGCGAGCGAACUCUCGUUAAGGAACUCGGCAAAAUGACCCCGUAACUUCGGGAGAAGGGGUGCUCUUUAGGGUUAACGCCCAGAAGAGCCGCAGUGAAUAGGCCCAAGCGACUGUUUAUCAAAAACACAGGUCUCUGCUAAACCGUAAGGUGAUGUAUAGGGGCUGACGCCUGCCCGGUGCUGGAAGGUUAAGAGGAGUGGUUAGCUUCUGCGAAGCUACGAAUCGAAGCCCCAGUAAACGGCGGCCGUAACUAUAACGGUCCUAAGGUAGCGAAAUUCCUUGUCGGGUAAGUUCCGACCCGCACGAAAGGCGUAACGAUUUGGGCACUGUCUCAACGAGAGACUCGGUGAAAUCAUAGUACCUGUGAAGAUGCAGGUUACCCGCGACAGGACGGAAAGACCCCGUGGAGCUUUACUGUAGCCUGAUAUUGAAAUUCGGCACAGCUUGUACAGGAUAGGUAGGAGCCUUUGAAACGUGAGCGCUAGCUUACGUGGAGGCGCUGGUGGGAUACUACCCUAGCUGUGUUGGCUUUCUAACCCGCACCACUUAUCGUGGUGGGAGACAGUGUCAGGCGGGCAGUUUGACUGGGGCGGUCGCCUCCUAAAAGGUAACGGAGGCGCUCAAAGGUUCCCUCAGAAUGGUUGGAAAUCAUUCAUAGAGUGUAAAGGCAUAAGGGAGCUUGACUGCGAGACCUACAAGUCGAGCAGGGUCGAAAGACGGACUUAGUGAUCCGGUGGUUCCGCAUGGAAGGGCCAUCGCUCAACGGAUAAAAGCUACCCCGGGGAUAACAGGCUUAUCUCCCCCAAGAGUUCACAUCGACGGGGAGGUUUGGCACCUCGAUGUCGGCUCAUCGCAUCCUGGGGCUGUAGUCGGUCCCAAGGGUUGGGCUGUUCGCCCAUUAAAGCGGUACGCGAGCUGGGUUCAGAACGUCGUGAGACAGUUCGGUCCCUAUCCGUCGUGGGCGUAGGAAAUUUGAGAGGAGCUGUCCUUAGUACGAGAGGACCGGGAUGGACAUACCUCUGGUGUACCAGUUGUCGUGCCAACGGCAUAGCUGGGUAGCUAUGUGUGGACGGGAUAAGUGCUGAAAGCAUCUAAGCAUGAAGCCCCCCUCAAGAUGAGAUUUCCCAACUUCGGUUAUAAGAUCCCUCAAAGAUGAUGAGGUUAAUAGGUUCGAGGUGGAAGCAUGGUGACAUGUGGAGCUGACGA
This 2288-nucleotide ribosomal RNA is filed under the name Staphylococcus aureus. RNAcentral describes it as "partial 23S ribosomal RNA". It matches the Rfam family "Bacterial large subunit ribosomal RNA", at positions 606 to 2897 of the family's 2925-position model. The record is from RNAcentral. Lineage: Bacteria; Bacillati; Bacillota; Bacilli; Caryophanales; Staphylococcaceae.